AUCAUUGGUCCACACUUUUUAAAUACAUUACAAGCGCGUGCAAUUGACAUGCUAUGAUUGAUAUUGUGAUGACGUCAUGGGUGGUGCUUAGUGCACCACCCACACCACCCGCGCCAGAACCCCUAUUUUGUAUGCUACUAGUAUGGGAUGUGUUUGGUGAAUCACAAUCAAAACAGCCCAAAAAACUUCAAAAUAGAGCCGCUAGAAUUAUCUUGAACAUGAGUAAUGACGUAAAUCCUUCCAUUGCUCUACGUGCAUUGGGCUGGGAGCCACUCAAAACUGAAAGGAAGAAAGCUAAGGCAAAAAUGAUGUACAAAGUAUUAAAUAAAAUGGGUCCUAAAUCACUCACCAAUCUUUUUUCAUACAAAUGUGAGAAAACAAACUACAACCUUCGUGACAUUUCAAGCGGUCUUAGUUUACCAAAACCGCGUACUAACAACAUGAAAAAUAGUUUCAUGUAUGACGGAGCACACCUUUGGAAUUCUAUUCCAAAGGAAAUUAGGGAAAGCGAAACUCUUUCAUCCUUUAGAAAUAAAAUCGCUGCUCACAAAAUUGACAUAGAGUAAAUUGAUGUAACUGUAAAUAUUCUAAUAACCUUCUUAUCAUGUAAAUAAUAUAUUUAAUAUUCUACCUUUUUAAACUUAAGUAAUUUAAUAUCUCCAAGUAACAUUUUUCUAUUUUUGCACACGCCCCCCGUGGAUUUCGGUUGACGGGGCAGCGUGUAUAAAUAAAGUUUCUAUCUAUCUAUCUGUGAUUAAUAUUUAAUCUAUUCU
Non-coding RNA from Paramuricea clavata, 773 nucleotides. Lineage: Eukaryota; Metazoa; Cnidaria; Anthozoa; Malacalcyonacea; Plexauridae. The record is from the annotation of a GenBank genome assembly.